AUGAAUGUGUUUGCCUUAGAUAGUAGCACACACAGUUUAUCCCCAACUGCAGGAGGGAAAGCAAAUUCUCACAUCCCCUGACUUGACGGGCGCUUGAAUUGCAUGAGGUCAAUAGGACUUUGAGUCUGGGCUUUCCACCAGUCCCCUCCAUUUUACAGAUGAGACCCAGAGAGCUGUGAUCCCCCCGCCCAAGAACACAUCUUGGAUUAGCUGCAGAAUUGGAAUUAGAACCCAGGGCUCCCUCUGCCUAGCCCAGCAUCUUCAGGUUGUCCCCUUAGGCAGAAUCCUGGCCAUACUCUGCCACUUACCCAACCUGUGCUCUGGGUAGUGAACAGUUAGCCUAGUGGACUCUGGGAAGAACAUUAGAAGAAGGAAAUGGAGAAACGGACAAGCUUCAGAAUAGGACCGAUAAGCCACCAGCUGUUGUGAAGCACUUGCAAUUGCAAUGAUUCCUUGGGCUCCGCACCCUCCCGGUGAGGCAGGUGGAGCAGGUUUUAUCGUCCAGCUGAAGAGACCUUGGCCGCAAGAGGUCACGUGGCUUACACGCAGCUGCGCUGCAAGUCGAAUCCAGAGGCUGCAGGCCAUGGGAGGAGGUGUCGUGUGGGCAGGCGUCUCUGCUGGGUGGGCAGCCAGCCCUGCGCUUCUGCGCUGGGCAGAAGAGUCUCCUUCCUUCAUAAUCCACAGAGGCCUUGAGGAGUCUUUGGGACGCAAAUGGAAAGUGUUCAUUCAGCCUGGCUUAGUAAGGCAGCAUCAACAAGGCAAGUGUACAAUGAUUGCUCCCACUCUGCCAGUGAGGAAACCAAAGCCCGGGAGGACUGCUGUCUUACGGGGUGGCCGCGGAGCUGGGACGUGCACCCAGGCUCCUGGGCUCCGGCCGCAAGGAGAGUGACCACUGCCCAUACUGCCUUGAGCGGGUUCUGGAAGAAAUACUAAUGUGUUUGAAUCCAGGAUGCUGAGCACAGUCUGCUGGGGGCGUUCCCGAAUAUGUGGUACAGGCCCUGUGCUGAUUUUCUCCAAUGUAAACAAUUACAAAACAGAUCUGACCCCAAAGGCAUCAUUAGAGGUUUAAACUUGCAUCUUCUUCCCUCUGGACCACUCUCUCUACUUCUGGUCUGCUUCUAACCCCAACUGCUCAAAUAGCUCUUGGGCAUCUAAAAUCAGCCUUUCUCCUCCGAAGAAGUGCAUAUACACCCACAUGCCAUGGGCCUCCCGGAAUACCUGUCUCCCUUGGCCAAACUCCUUUGCUCCCCACGAUUCCUCCACUCUACUUGCUGCCAAUCCCAUCGAAUUUUGGUGCACUUUGCCCUGUGCCCUUGUUGAGAAGAUGGCCUUUGGAGAUGUGCCCUCUGAACUGCCCUGGCAGUAUGGUCUGAGCUCGCCGUGACCUGCCCAUGAGCUGCGGGAUUAUUGCAAGAAGUCUCUGUGGCCCUGACUGGUGUGGCUCAGUUGGUUGGGGCGUCGUCCCAUACACCAGAAGGUGGUGGGA
Long non-coding RNA from Molossus molossus (Pallas's mastiff bat), 1486 nucleotides. RefSeq lists it as uncharacterized. NCBI's taxonomy places the organism in Eukaryota, Metazoa, Chordata, Mammalia, Chiroptera, Molossidae. The record is from RefSeq and is a predicted model, not a curated record. The transcript is spliced from 5 exons.